Molecule: ribosomal RNA, 402 nt
Filed under: uncultured bacterium
Lineage: Bacteria
Description: bacterial SSU rRNA
Rfam family: Bacterial small subunit ribosomal RNA
Source: RNAcentral
UGGGGAAUCUUGCACAAUGGGGGAAACCCUGAUGCAGCGACGCCGCGUGAACGAUGAAGCCCUUCGGGGUGUAAAGUUCUUUCGACAGGAACGAUAAUGACGGUACCUGGAGAAGAAGCUGCGGCUAACUACGUGCCAGCAGCCGCGGUAAUACGUAGGCAGCGAGCGUUGUUCGGAGUUACUGGGCGUAAAGAGUGCGUAGGCGGCGAGCCAAGUUUGGUGUGACAUCUCCCGGCUUAACCGGGAGGGUGCGCCGAAAACUGGUUCGCUGGAGUAUGGGAGAGGAAAGCGGAAUUCCUGGUGUAGCGGUGAAAUGCGUAGAUAUCAGGAGGAACACCUGCGGUGUAGACAGCUUUCUGGACCAAAACUGACGCUGAGGCACGAAAGCGUGGGUAGCAAACA